RNAcentral lists this ribosomal RNA (508 nucleotides) under uncultured bacterium. RNAcentral describes it as "partial 16S ribosomal RNA". It matches the Rfam family "Bacterial small subunit ribosomal RNA", at positions 30 to 523 of the family's 1533-position model. The record is from RNAcentral.
AUUGAACGCUGGCGGCAGGCCUAACACAUGCAAGUCGAGCGGCAGCGGGAAAGUAGCUUGCUACUUUUGCCGGCGAGCGGCGGACGGGUGAGUAAUGCCUGGGAAAUUGCCCAGUCGAGGGGGAUAACAGUUGGAAACGACUGCUAAUACCGCAUACGCCCUACGGGGGAAAGCAGGGGACCUUCGGGCCUUGCGCGAUUGGAUAUGCCCGGGUGGGAUUAGCUAGUUGGUGAGGUAAUGGCUCACCAAGGCGACGAUCCCUAGCUGGUCUGAGAGGAUGAUCAGCCACACUGGAACUGAGACACGGUCCAGACUCCUACGGGAGGCAGCAGUGGGGAAUAUUGCACAAUGGGGGAAACCCGGAUGCAGCCAUGCCGCGUGUGUGAAGAAGGCCUUCGGGUUGUAAAGCACUUUCAGCGAGGAGGAAAGGUUGAUGCCUAAUACGUAUCAACUGUGACGUUACUCGCAGAAGAAGCACCGGCUAACUCCGUGCCAGCCGCCGCGGUAA